GCUGGUGGCCUUCCACAAAAUACUUCUUUUGUGCAGCUCUGAAAUGUUCCAGCCAGCAACAAUUCCUGCUGCUCACACCAGCCCCUUUCCAAGCAGGAGGAAUUUGUGUAAGCAGCCAGACAACUUAGUAUCAGGAGAAUAAAAUACUCAGGUGAGUGUUAUCAACUCUCAGCCAGAAGCUGCAUCCUCAGCUCCUUAUCUCUCCCAGUUGUCUCAGAUGUGGUAGAAGCGGCAGGAAAUCAUUGAUUCUGGAAGGGAAAGCAGAAGGAGGAGAGGCAGUGGCUGCUCCCUGGGGCCUUGGGAGCAGCGAGAGCUAUCCAAAAUAGGAUCUCUGCUGAGUUAUGGAGAUAGAGUGACCAACCAGCAAUGCUCUGUUUGAGCCAUCUGUGAAUGUGAGCAUGGAAAUCUGACCUUGUAAAACAGAGAAAAAGGGGUCCAUAGGUAUUUACCACAACUUGGAGGGGCUCUGAGUCACCUACUCCAGUGGAAGGUGUUCCUACCCAUGGCAGAGGGGUUGGAUCUAGAGGGUCUUUAAGAUCCCUUCCAACUCAAGCCCCUCUGUGAGUCUGAAUUACAAACCCACAAUGACAAAGAGAACACAGCAAACCUGGGUCCCACUACACUAUUGGAGGCUGCCGUAGUCACUUGUGCCACCUGGAGACUGGUUUGUAUCUGGAGAAGUUUUCACGGUCCCACAGUAUUUGGGUGUGACUUUCCUGGUUGAGGGCCCCAAAAGAUGCCAGAAGAGAUUAUUUGCAAGCUGAGAAUUGGUUAAGCUGCCUGUCAACCUGAUGGGAGAAGUGUACUCGUGUUAUUGCAGUGUUUACCCUGGACAGGCUAGAUAAUCUGUUUGCUAUACAUCCUGGAGGGGGCUUUGUCGUUAAGAAUGAAAAGCAAAAAGACAUUUCUCUUCAGAAGAGUCUUGAAAGAGCUUUUUGUAUUAUCAGAAGCAGCUACACUGAUACUGGCCAAUGUGGGAAAUGGAUUUGUAGAGAGUUUUCAGGGCCUUGACAGAAGGCCCACACAGUAUGUAUCUGUAUGCAAUCUUGAGAUAAGAAAUGCUGAUUCAGAAAUGCUAUGGAGUAGGAUAGAUAUUGUUGAGAGAGAAAUGGAGCUAGAAGAAAGUUUCAUAGGAUGGUCUUAUAAAUAAGACUAGAUACUUUGGAGAAACAGAACUAUGAAAGAUGUAUUGUAGUAGGAUCCACGAGGGGUAUUUUUACAUGAUUUGCUUUAAGGCAUCUACAGCAUGGCGUGGCAAAAAGCUGAUAGGCUAAGAAACGCUUCUAGUGUAUUGUAAUUAGGAAAUAGCUUCUGAUUGUGAUGGCAUGAAUUCUAACAUCUGUAUUGUCUCACCCUUCUCAUGAGACUUAAAAUAGAAUAUAAGUUUUUAAAACGCCUCUCAGUUCCCCAUCUCUGAAUCAGGAAAAAAAUAUUGUCCAACAAAUUUGUGUUCUCGUGUCAGGAGCAAAUAACCAACAGUCUAACACACCUUGGUAAAACAGUUCAUAGUACAGGUAUGCUGGGCAUAGGGCCAGACGUCACUGUGAUUUCUCAUGUAUCCUGGCUGUGCAAUUGGAAUUUGGUAACACCUAAGGGUGCUCUCACAGGAAUUGGAGGAGCUGCCUUGUCUGCAAAGUGAAUUCAGGAUUACUGUUACAGGUCCCAAGGGAAGGACAGCAAUCAUCCGUCCCCUUGUGGUGCAGAAGCCUAUCACAGUAUGGGGAAGAGAUGUGUUGUCUGAGGGGGGAGCGAAGAUAGAAGGGGGUUUUUGAUGAAAACCACAGCAACACCUGCCACUCUGAAAUUGUCAUAGAAAACCAAUCAGCCGAUUUGGAUUAAUCAAUGGCCUCUUACACCAAAAAAAUUGAAUAUUUUCCAAAAAUUAGUAAGCGAACAACUACAAGAAGACCACAUCAAACCUACAACCAGUCUCUGCAAUUCCCCAGUUUUUGUCAUUCAUAAGUAAACCUCUGAUUCCUGGAGAUUGCUCCACGACCUGAGGAAGAUCAAUGAGAUCAUAGAGGACAUGGGGCCUCUGCAACCUGGUCUUCCCUCUCUUUCAGUGAUUCUAAGACACUAGCCUCUUGCCAUCUGUGGAUGCUGACAGAGAGAGAAACAGAUAACUUUCCCAGGCAUCAUCCUAGGGAAGUUGUGAGAACACUCAGAGAAAUAAUUAAAACAAUUCUUAUCUUAAUUGCUGCACCUGGUGUUUGUGAACAUGCGGAAUGUUUGUAUGUGAUGCUUAUGGAAAGAUAUUUUACCAGAAGAUGUCGUUCCUAAUUAAUUAAUGGUGUGAGGGGUAUUGUUUAAGAGCCAAUCAGGUUCUGAGUGAACUAUCCUGCCUAUAAAUAUAUGAAGUUCCUAAUGAAAAUUGCUUUAUGCCUUCUGAUCAUAGGAGUCAAUGUCACCGUUCUUCAGCCAUUCCUAACUCAAUGGCGACAGCGUACCACAGGGAAACCUAGUCUUAAGUAAGAGCCAUGUGUAAGAUUUCAUGGUGUCAGUUUAUUGAUUUGAGCAUAAUGCAAAUACUAAUAGAAUAAGGGGUGGAUAAUGUCUUAGGUUGCAAAAUGUCUCUGGGAGUAUGUAUUCUAUUGCCAUCUGUUAGAGGUAGGGCAAUUAUCUUCUGCUAAUUGGGCCACCCGUUAAAACCAGGUGGGACAGUUUUCUUUAUUUCUUACACAACCAGUCCUCCCUCCGGAAAAUAUUUUCUCUUAGUAGGCCAUUGAAUCUCACUGCAUGACUGAUGAAAUUACGUCAUCCCAUUGUGAGACGCUCUACCCAGGGGGAGGAGCCAAGCAUUCCUACCUAGAUAUAAUAUGAGAUUUGCAACACCACAGCAGCCUUUUCCAACUAGAUUCCCAGAAGAGCAGUUUUCUUUUCCCCUGGAUUGCCAGAAGAAGACCAAGCCUAUCUACACCACCACUGGACCUUCAGAGGAAGACUGCACCCUGUAUCAGGAUCACUGUUUCAAGAGAACCACAGCUGUCACACCAAGACUACAGUCACCAUGUAAUCAGAAUGCUACCAACUCCCCGACCAACAGAGUGUCAGGUCAUGUUCUGACUCUGUCAGUAGAUUUUUUUUGUACUGUUGCAUUUGUAUUUUAAUUUUCCUAAUAAAGAACUACUAUUCCUCUCCCAUAUCUUUGCCUGAGAGCCCCUUUAUUUCAAAAUUAUACUAAUUCAGAGAGAAGGAGUUUGCAUUUUCCAUUUCAAGGGAGGCUCCUGCCUUCCUUAGCAGACACCUGUCUUUUCAAACAAAACACAGGGCCAUUACAUUCCACAAGAGGAAUCACUGGUGUACAUUUCAUGGACCUCUCUCAAUCCUAUUAAAGUAUUGUAGUCCUGGUUUAAAAUAGACAGGUAUGAAACAACUUUGAGAGACAGAGACUAAAAUGGCUUGUGGAUUUUUUUUUUAUUACAUAAAAAUUAAAAACUGCAAUAAAAAAGAGUGAAAUAAAUAAGUGCUUUCGUAUAUGAAUAAUUAGAGAAACAGAAAUUUGAAGAUAUGAAUGCACAUUUUCAUAAAAAUAGGAAAUUACAAAUAAAAAAAUAUAUACAUUGAACUACAAUAAAAAGGUCGGUAAGAUUGUACUUUAUUUAGAUUGUAAUUUAUUUAGAUUUUUUUGCAUUGCUGAAGUAUUUUCUUUGUAAAGAGAAGCCGGUAUUUUGAUGAAGAAAUCACAACUGACAAUAAAUUUCCUUACUUUUUCUGGUGCUGAGUAAGACAUCCUGGCUGGAAGGUCUGACUGAAGGCAAAGAACUGGCUCUGUGUGGUCUGGAACUGAAGGAUGUGUUGACUGAAGACCCAGUACCAGCUCUAGUCCCUGUCAUACUGGAGGACAUGUUGCUUGAAGGCACGGUAAGAGCUCUGUUUCCUCUCAUACGGGAGGAUGCAUCCACUGAUGACCCAGUAUUGGUUCUGGUUGGUAUCGGGUUGAUGACUCUGUCCAUUGAUGACCCAAAACCUGCUCUGCCUGGCAUCACACUGGAGGGUGUGCUGGUUUCAGACACACUAUAGAAUCUGCCUGGUGUCACACUGGAGGGUACGUUGGUGUCAGAGGCACUGUGGGUUCUGUGUGCUGCCACAGCAGCAGGUACGUUGGCUCCAGAUACAGAAUGGGCUCUGUGGCUAGGCACUCUCCAGCGUCCUGGAAUAAACAAAAGAAUAAAAAACAAAUCAAGAGAGAAUCUACGUUUGCUGUUAAAUACCUCACAUACCAAAGGGUGUGUAUGUGAAGUCCUUCUAAAUGUUUGCUCCUUAAGUGCUUAUUUGAAACACACUGCACCUGAUUAUUAGACAUAAAUCUUUAAUAGACAAAGGACAUUAGCACAAGUAUCCUUCCCUAGGAAGUGUUGGCAUAACAUUUAUUUGAAGUGCUACAAGUACUUACUUACAGACAUCUUUUACCUCUCAUCAUAUUAAUUCCAAAGCUGUGUUUUUUAAUCAAGGAAACAAACCUAUUCUGCAGUCUCCCUAACAAAAAAUUUAAUGCCGUUUAGCUACCCCACCCCUUUUUCUUCUGAAAAAUGUCUCAAAACAUUUCUGUUUGCUCUAGAUUUAAUGAUCCUGUAUGUCUACAAUUAAGUGUUGUUGUAUUUGGCUAUAGAAUCUGUGCAGCAUGGAGAUGCUGCCUAGGAACCCACAUCCAAGGGACUACAAUUGCUUGAAAAACAGAUUUACCAUCAGCAGUAGAAAUAGGAGCAGUAGGUCUACCAGCGGCUUGUGGUGAAACGUAAGGCUGAAAAAUAUCUGUGGAAUAAAAGUAAGUUUCAAAAACCAAGAAAUGCAUGGAAUGGAAGUAGUUGUAGUUGAAAGGAAAGGCUAUUACAAAAUGUUAAUGGUUUAUAACAGAAAGAAAGGAAAAGGCCUUUGGCUAUAAAAAAAAAAAAAA
Molecule: long non-coding RNA, 4894 nt
Filed under: Taeniopygia guttata (zebra finch)
Lineage: Eukaryota; Metazoa; Chordata; Aves; Passeriformes; Estrildidae
Description: lncRNA (ENSTGUG00000022122.1)
Source: RNAcentral